GGGUCUAGGGUUCCAUCUCUUUCCUUAGUGCCAACUCUGCUUGGGUAUUGGUCAUCCUACAACCAUUUGCUGCUAGAGCCACCACUUUUCAAGCCAUAUGUCUCACUAAGGCUAAGGUUCUCUCCUUCUAUCUCUCUAAUACAUAGGCAUUGUGGAUCCUCAAGUGCUGUUGGAACCACGAAUGUAGCUCACUUAUAUUAUUAUUAACAAGCA
This 213-nucleotide long non-coding RNA is filed under the name Spirodela polyrhiza (greater duckweed). RNAcentral describes it as "long non-coding RNA (SPOL_LNC001819)". Lineage: Eukaryota; Viridiplantae; Streptophyta; Magnoliopsida; Alismatales; Araceae. The record is from RNAcentral.